GCGUGAGUGAAGAAGGCCUUCGGGUUGUAAACCUCUUUCGCCGGUGAAGAUAAUGACGGUAGCCGGAGAAGAAGCCCCGGCUAACUCCGUGCCAGCAGCCGCGGUAAUACGGAGGGGGCUAGCGUUGUUCGGAAUUACUGGGCGUAAAGCGCGCGUAGGCGGCGCGGCAAGUUGGGCGUGAAAGCCCGGGGCUCAACCCCGGAUGUGCGCCCGAGACUGCCGUGCUGGAGGCCGAGAGAGGGUGGCGGAAUUCCCAGUGUAGAGGUGAAAUUCGU
This 275-nucleotide ribosomal RNA is filed under the name uncultured bacterium. RNAcentral describes it as "partial 16S ribosomal RNA". It matches the Rfam family "Bacterial small subunit ribosomal RNA", at positions 399 to 691 of the family's 1533-position model. The record is from RNAcentral.